CCUACGGGAGGCAGCAGUGGGGAAUAUUGGGCAAUGGACGCAAGUCUGACCCAGCAACGCCGCGUGAAGGAAGAAGGCUUUCGGGUUGUAAACUUCUUUUAAGGGGGAAGAGCAGAAGACGGUACCCCUUGAAUAAGCCACGGCUAACUACGUGCCAGCAGCCGCGGUAAUACGUAGGUGGCAAGCGUUGCCCGGAUUUACGGGUGGUAAAGGGCGUGCAGCAGUGCAGACAAGGCAGAUGUGAAAUCCACGGGCUCAACCCGUGCACUGCAUUUGAAACUGGUUACCGUGAGUGGCGGAGAGGUAAUCGGAAUUCCUGGUGUAGCGGUGAAAUGCGUAGAUAUAAGGAAGAACCCCAGUGGCGAAGGCAGAUUACUGGCCGAUAACUGACGGUGAGGCGCGAAAGCGUGGGGAGCGAACAGGAUUAGAUACCCGAGUAGUC
RNAcentral lists this ribosomal RNA (442 nucleotides) under uncultured bacterium. RNAcentral's name for it is "partial 16S ribosomal RNA". It matches the Rfam family "Bacterial small subunit ribosomal RNA", at positions 338 to 795 of the family's 1533-position model. The record is from RNAcentral.